This 254-nucleotide ribosomal RNA is filed under the name uncultured bacterium. RNAcentral's name for it is "partial 16S ribosomal RNA". It matches the Rfam family "Bacterial small subunit ribosomal RNA", at positions 524 to 776 of the family's 1533-position model. The record is from RNAcentral.
GACGAACCGUGCGAACGUUAUUCGGAAUCACUGGGCUUAAAGCGCGUGUAGGCGGGAGGGCACGUCCGUCGCUGAAAUCCCCCGGCUCAACCGGGGAACGGGCGCGGAUACGACCUUCCUGGAGGGGCGUAGGGGGACCUGGAACUUCCGGUGGAGCGGUGAAAUGCGUUGAGAUCGGAAGGAACGCCCGCGGCGAAAGCGAGGUCCUGGACUGGUCCUGACGCUCAGGAGCGAAAGCGUGGGGAGCGAGCCGG